ACACUGAUGAUUGUUAUCGUCUGACCCUGCAGAGGAAGUUCACAGCUUGCUGAGAGCUCUGGUGCUCUUCCAGUUUGACGGUCCGGCCAGCAGCCUGCAGAGACUUCAGUGUCCUGCUGCAGCUCAUGGAGGCGGCCCUUCCAGAGAUCUGGAGUGAGAACCUGCAGCACGGCCAAACUCCACUCACGGGUCCUAACUCAACAGCCAAUAGCAUUACGGCAUCAUUUCAGCAGCAGAGACCCGCUGUGCCUCAGCAAGACGCAGAAGCCCUGACUGCUCCCAAGAUGAGAAACUUAGGCCUUUUUUUGUUUUGUUUUAAUAAUUGUAUUUUAUUAAGAUAAAAUUUUUUAUGGUACAUUAUGGAUGAAUUAAAGAUUAUAAAAUGUU
Pimephales promelas (fathead minnow) is the source of this 387-nucleotide long non-coding RNA. RefSeq lists it as uncharacterized. The record is from RefSeq and is a predicted model, not a curated record. NCBI's taxonomy places the organism in Eukaryota, Metazoa, Chordata, Actinopteri, Cypriniformes, Leuciscidae.